UUAUGGAUGAUGAUUCCAAGUCAAUCAGCCCUUGGAAAAGCUUAACAAAAUGAGUGAAACUCCCUGAAAAAAUACCUAUCACUUGGCUAUAA
This is a small nucleolar RNA of Nannospalax galili (Upper Galilee mountains blind mole rat), 92 nucleotides long. RefSeq annotates it as small nucleolar RNA SNORD116. The record is from RefSeq and is a predicted model, not a curated record. The transcript has a single exon. Lineage: Eukaryota; Metazoa; Chordata; Mammalia; Rodentia; Spalacidae.